Molecule: unclassified non-coding RNA, 329 nt
Filed under: soil metagenome
Description: partial contains 5.8S ribosomal RNA, internal transcribed spacer 2, and large subunit ribosomal RNA
Rfam family: 5.8S ribosomal RNA (bases 1-120)
Source: RNAcentral
GAUGAAGAACGUAGUGAAAUGCGAUAAGUAAUGUGAAUUGCAGAAUUCAGUGAAUCAUCGAAUCUUUGAACGCACAUUACGCCCCUUGGUAUUCCGAGGGGCAUGCCUAUUCGAGCGUCAUUAUCACCCCUCAAGCCUAGCUUGGUGUUGAGGCCUGCUGUCAAGGCAGCCUCUAAAAUCAGUGGCAGUGCUGUCAGGCUCUAAGCGUAGUAAAUCUAAUCGCUAUAGACACCUGGUGGACACUCGCCAGAACCCCCCCAUUUUUUAAUGAUUGACCUCGGAUUAGGUAGGGAUACCCGCUGAACUUAAGCAUAUCAAUAAGCGGAGGA